AAUUCUCAACCUCACCUGGUUUCUGACUUGUGUGAUGGCUUGGAUUUGGGAGUUGUGCAGGCUGUAGUUAUCUGCGGCUCUGCUCUCCUUAAAUGUAUUAGCAGGUCUUUUACCUCUAUCCCAACAGUGUGAUAAUCUAUCUACGCUGCUGGUUUGGAGACCCACUUGUGGGGGACUGGCUUCUAAUCGUCUGAAAAGACAACUUGACAU
This 210-nucleotide unclassified non-coding RNA is filed under the name Parasola lilatincta. RNAcentral's name for it is "sequence contains ITS2". Lineage: Eukaryota; Fungi; Basidiomycota; Agaricomycetes; Agaricales; Psathyrellaceae. The record is from RNAcentral.